Molecule: long non-coding RNA, 2914 nt
Filed under: Nicotiana benthamiana
Lineage: Eukaryota; Viridiplantae; Streptophyta; Magnoliopsida; Solanales; Solanaceae
Description: long non-coding RNA (NBEN_LNC042359)
Source: RNAcentral
ACUUAUUUCCCACCAUUUCUCUCUUCUCCUCCAAUUUCUUUUCCCUCUUGAAGUUGGCUUGCUGAAGAGACACCAAAGAUGGCUGAUUUUGGGAACAAUCUCAUCAAAAAUAUAAUACGAACUCUUAUUAUGGCUCCAGUCUAUACUACAGCAAGUUACAUUGCAUACAGAACUGGGCGCUGAUUUGAAACUUCAGAUGAAUUCGCGAGGCAAAGGCUGGCUGAAAUUUUGAAUUGGUUGCAAAGCGAGGUAAGUGUUUGGUCUACCUUAGCUUAAGGGAAUAGGAGUUGAGUAUAUUUAUUACUUGUUAUGUGAUGUGUCCGACGUGUAGGCAUGGUGACAAGCUUUUAUACGUUGGGAUCGAGCAUGACCGUAAGUCCUAAAUUACUUAAAUUGUUGUAUUCUUAUUUGAUGCUUGUGAGAACUUGGUUGAAAAUCUUUUAAGCUGAGCAAAUAAUUAUGCCACCAUUUGCCAGAAAAUAUAAUAAAGAGCAGUUGUUGAUAUCUUGGUACAUAGCAAAUGUACGCACAAAUUGUUCUCUUAUUGAAGUUCCUUGUUUUAAACUUAUAAUUUACAAGAACAAUAAAACUUAGCUUUACGCUAUUAGUGGUGGUCAAUUCAUUUCAAUACUUCAUCUUAGUUUCUCUAUUCAAAACUCCAUCAUCGGUCGAUAUGACUUAUUAGCAAAAAAAAUUUAAUUUUCUCGAUCUAUGAAAGAAAAUUAUUUACCGGAUUAGUAUAGAAUUGUAAAUUAACUAUUUAUGUUGGUACCUUAUAGUUUACUUUGUCAGAAGUGGACGAUAUCUUAUAUCCAAGAAAUAAUUAAUAUCAUAAUUUAACAGAGGAGGUAAAAAGAAAAAAAACAACACAAUAUGAACAAAUACUAUUGUACGCACACAAAAUUUUAAAUGAGGAGAAAACAAUAUGAAAAAUAUAUUUUAUAUGCAGUGGGGUCCAUGCACACCCAAAACCUUAAUUAAUACCUUAAGGUUUAACUGAAAGUCCAAAUAUUCACAUCUAUUUUUCAAUUAUAUAUUGUUUGAUUAUUUGUUAUUGGUUUUUCUUGCCGGUAGUAUAUUGUUUGAUUAUUCGUUAUUGGUUUCUUUGCCGAUAAUAUAUUAUUUGAUUAUUUGUUAUUGAUUUUCCUUGCCGGUAAUACAUUGUUUGAUUAUUUGUUAUUGGUUUCUUUGCUCGUAAUAUAUUGUUUGAUUAUUUGUUAUUGGUUUUUUUGCCGGUAAUAUAUUGUUUGAUUAUUUGUUAUUGGUUUUCUUUGCCGGUAAUAUAUUGUUUGUUAUUUGUUAUUGGUUUUCCUUGCCGGUAAUACAUUAUUUGAUUAUUUGUUAUUGGUUUCUUUGCCGGUAAUAUAUUGUACACUGAGUUAAAAAUGAAAUGGGAACGGGUGGUACGCCUACCACAAGAGAUAAUGAAAUGGGAGCGGGUGGUACGCCUACCACAAGAUAUAAUGAAAUGGGAACGGGUGGUACGCAUACCACAAGAUAUAAUGAAAUGGGAGCGGGUGAUACGCCUACCACACGAUAUAAUGAAAUGGAAGCGGGUGGUACGCCUACCACAAGAUAUAAUAAAAUGGGAGCGGGUGGUACGCCUACCAUAACAUAUAAUGAAAUGGGAGCGGGUGGUACGCCUACCACAAGAUAUAAAUAAAUGGGAGCGGGUGGUACGCCUACCACGAGAUACAUGAAAUGGGAGCGGGUGACACGUCUCCCACGAGAUACAGGAAAUGUGAUCGGGUUGCACGCCGGUAAUAAGAUAUGAAAAGAAAGUGAAAUAUACCUUUAUUUUUCUUAUUCUUGUUUGUGGUUCGACUUUGAUUCCCUUAUAAUUUUCUUUAUAUUCUAUUUGUAUUUAUCUUUUUAUAUAUAUGAUCAAUACUCCAAAUUUAAACAAUUGUUACAUUUUUAACUCAAUUAAUUUCUCAAUUACAUUUUCCUUGAACCAUUGAGGUUGUACUUUACUUAAAAAGGAAUCUCUACCAAGUUUCAAUCAUUUAUUUCUCACAUUAAAUGUAAUGAUUCAUUCAAUAUUGUACUUCAAAUGAAAAGGGUAUUUUCUUAAUCAAAUGAUUUCUAAAAAUAACAUCAUUUUUUCUUGUUGAUUUUCAUUUGGGUUGGAAGAUGUACUCUACUUUAUGAUAAGUGAAUGAGUCUUCCUGAACAUUCUUCAUUGUAAUGGUUAUGGAACCCGUAAACUGAAUAAUAUGAGGAUAUUUUGGUGCAAUAUGAGACAAAAAUAUGCGGGCACGAGGUGAUGUGAUAAUAUGAAAGUGGGCUGAGACCUAUAUUAAUUAUAAUUAUAAAAUGAGGUGUCACACGGUGACCUUUAUCCGAAAGAAUUAUAUUCGAAAGAUGCUUACUUGGAAGAUAAUUAUUUGAAGGAAAUAUAUUCGGAAUAUAUUAAUGGAAAACCAUAUUAUCUUAGAAAUUAUUACUUGAAGGAUUUAUAGGCGAAAAAUUUAUAUUUUAAGAACUCGAUUAAUUGAUUGCACUUAUAUUUAUUAUUUGUUGAGAAGCAAUUAUGGUGUUCUUGUUACCUGCUAUUUAUAUCACUGGUUGAUCAGUGUUGUCAUUAUUGUUAUUUGCUUCCUAUUAUUUUGUACAUUAUAAACUGCACAGGUUUAUAUGAGUGUCUAGUCCUAGCCUCGUCACUACUUCACCGGGGUAGGCUAGACACUUACCAGCACAUGGAGUCGGUUAUGUUAAUACUACACUUCUGUACAUUUUUUGUGUACAGAUUCAAGCAUUUGAUCGAUGGUAGCUAUUCGUUGCGGUGGAGACUCAACGUAAAUCUGCUAUAGCGUUCGUAGUCCUCGAAGUCACCUUCAAUUGUACUUAUUUCCAUUUUUUCCCUUUGUUACAGAACAAUGAUAUAAUUAUUAGAAAGGCUUGUAACUUGUAC